GUUGCUGCACACGUUCACGUAGCAGCGUCCCACCCCGUCCAGGCUGGUGCGCAGCACGUGGCCGGGCUCCGGGUGCACGAACCGCACCUCCACGCCGCGCUCCCGCUCCAGAGCCGUGAUUUCCUCCUCGUAGCGUCGCCGGUUUUCCGGGUCCGUGAGCUCCUCGGCGUACUCCGAGAACAUUCUGCGGAACUCCGGGUCCUGAAAGGCCGAGGUCCCCAGUUCCUGGGAAGCACUCUCCGUAUUUGUGAAAGGACACAGUCAUGACUUCUGUGGUAUGAAAGGCCUCUUCUACACCAUAACCAUGAUGAAUAUCAGUGUCAACAUACAGCGCACUCUGAUGGUAUCUCUAAGCACCAGAGACAUGGAAACUGGCUGAAGGAAGGUGGAAGAGUUGCCGAGUGUCUCCAGAGGCCUGACCAAGCCAAUCAAGUCCGAUCUUCCUACUCUAUAGCCAGGGUCAAUUCCAGCCACACAGAAACACUGGAGGCAGGAUCUGAGCAGCACCUGCCCUUGAUCUUGCCAUGGGCUCAGAUCAAACCAAGACCCGGUCAAGAAGAGACUGGCUAGAGACACUCUUGGAACACAUCCUAGCCAGCACACCAUAAGAAAAGUAAACUAAGGAGGCAAGCCCAUGGGGAAAGGAACGCAGGAAACCUGGCCUAAGGUGCUCCUCCAAGAGACAAGGCCAAGCAGGCAUAUUUUAGCAGUUCCAGGAUGGCCAAGACGAUAUCAUUGAUGUAACCGAAGCCAGAUGCCUCAGACUUCUUUGCAUGAUGUAGGUCCCUAGCCCAAUUCACUGCAAUGUCCGUCUGCUGCUUAUUAAGUUUCACAGCACUUGCCACAGAUCCUCCAGUAGACAACUGACAGAACUCAAACAGGCCAUCAAAUACUGGACAGUCCUCACAUUGAAUCUGCAUUUGCUUGCUGAACUCAGACAUGUUAUCUGGAUGAAUGGAGUGCAAGAAUUUAAUGUCAUCACUGUGGUACUUGGUCAUCUCCUCAGCAUUGGCCUUGUGAGGGCGAUAGAUUUCCAUUUUUCGGUACAGACCAUAGUUGAGCAGGAAAUUAUGAGUCAUGUGGAUUUGGUGAGGCUUCACUGGUUGCCUUGUCCAUAAUAGUAAUUUCCAACAUCACCGUCAGUAGUAGUAACAGACUUCCCUUUUGGUGCCCUGAAACUGCGCCAUCUUGCCCACCCUCCCUCCUUUGCUCUC
Long non-coding RNA from Jaculus jaculus (lesser Egyptian jerboa), 1214 nucleotides. RefSeq lists it as uncharacterized. Lineage: Eukaryota; Metazoa; Chordata; Mammalia; Rodentia; Dipodidae. The transcript has 3 exons. The record is from RefSeq and is a predicted model, not a curated record.